CCUACGGGUGGCAGCAGUGAGGAAUAUUGGUCAAUGGACGAGAGUCUGAACCAGCCAAGUAGCGUGAAGGAUGACUGCCCUAUGGGUUGUAAACUUCUUUUAUAUGGGAAUAAAAUGUUCCACGUGUGGGAUUUUGUAUGUACCAUAUGAAUAAGGAUCGGCUAACUCCGUGCCAGCAGCCGCGGUAAUACGGAGGGUCCGAGCGUUAUCCGGAGUUAUUGGGUUUAAAGGGAGCGUAGGUGGAUUGUUAAGUCAGUUGUGAAAGUUUGCGGCUCAACCGUAAAAUUGCAGUUGAAACUGGCAGUCUUGAGUACAGUAGAGGUGGGCGGAAUUCGUGGUGUAGCGGUGAAAUGCUUAGAUAUCACGAAGAACUCCGAUUGCGAAGGCAGUUCACUGGACUGCAACUGACACUGAGGCUCGAAAGUGUGGGUAUCAAACAGGAUUAGAUACCCCUGUAGUC
This 460-nucleotide ribosomal RNA is filed under the name uncultured bacterium. RNAcentral describes it as "partial 16S ribosomal RNA". It matches the Rfam family "Bacterial small subunit ribosomal RNA", at positions 338 to 795 of the family's 1533-position model. The record is from RNAcentral.